AUGUUGGCUUUGGCAGCACUUAUACCGAGAAUUGAAACUAUACAGAGAAGAUGAGCAUGGCCCCUGUGCAGGGAUGACCAGCAAAUUCGUGAAGCAUUCUGUAUUUUA
RNAcentral lists this small nuclear RNA (108 nucleotides) under Microcebus murinus (gray mouse lemur). Lineage: Eukaryota; Metazoa; Chordata; Mammalia; Primates; Cheirogaleidae. The record is from RNAcentral.